RNAcentral lists this ribosomal RNA (317 nucleotides) under Anaplasma phagocytophilum. RNAcentral describes it as "bacterial SSU rRNA". It matches the Rfam family "Bacterial small subunit ribosomal RNA", at positions 77 to 408 of the family's 1533-position model. Lineage: Bacteria; Pseudomonadati; Pseudomonadota; Alphaproteobacteria; Rickettsiales; Anaplasmataceae. The record is from RNAcentral.
AGCUUGCUGCGUGUAUGGUUAGUGGCAGACGGGUGAGUAAUGCAUAGGAAUCUGCCUAGUAGUAUAGGAUAGCCACUAGAAAUGGUGGGUAAUACUGUAUAAUCCCUGCGGGGGAAAGAUUUAUCGCUAUUAGAUGAGCCUAUGUCAGAUUAGCUAGUUGGUGGGGUAAUGGCCCACCAAGGCUGUGAUCUGUAGCUGGUCUGAGAGGAUGAUCAGCCACACUGGAACUGAGACACGGUCCAGACUCCUACGGGAGGCAGCAGUGGGGAAUAUUGGACAAUGGGCGCAAGCCUGAUCCAGCUAUGCCGCGUGAGUGA